Molecule: transfer RNA, 73 nt
Organism: Tetrahymena thermophila SB210
Lineage: Eukaryota; Ciliophora; Oligohymenophorea; Hymenostomatida; Tetrahymenidae
Rfam family: tRNA
About the family: Transfer RNA (tRNA) molecules are approximately 80 nucleotides in length.
Source: Rfam
GAUUUCUUAGUGUAGUGGUUAUCACGUCAGUCUUACACACUGAAGGUCCCGAGUUCAAUCCUCGGAGAAAUCA